This 388-nucleotide ribosomal RNA is filed under the name uncultured bacterium. Its description in RNAcentral is "bacterial SSU rRNA". It matches the Rfam family "Bacterial small subunit ribosomal RNA", at positions 28 to 417 of the family's 1533-position model. The record is from RNAcentral.
GACGAACGCUGGCGGCGUGCUUAACACAUGCAAGUCGAGCGGUAAGGCCCUUUCGGGGGUACACGAGCGGCGAACGGGUGAGUAACACGUGGGUGACCUGCCCUCAGCUCUGGGAUAAGCCUGGGAAACUGGGUCUAAUACCGGAUAUGACUCCAUGACGCAUGUUGGUGGGGUGGAAAGCCUUGUGCGGCUGAGGAUGGGCCCGCGGCCUAUCAGCUUGUUGGUGGGGGAUGGCCUACCAAGGCGACGACGGGUAGCCGGCCUGAGAGGGCGACCGGCCACACUGGGACUGAGACACGGCCCAGACUCCUACGGGAGGCAGCAGUGGGGAAUCUUGCGCAAUGGGCGAAAGCCUGACGCAGCGACGCCGCGUGAGGGAUGACGGCCU